AACGAACGCUGGCGGCGUGCCUAACACAUGCAAGUCGAACGAGAAAGGGGCUUCGGCUCCGAGUAAAGUGGCGCACGGGUGAGUAACACGUAGGUAACCUGCCUCUAAGAUUGGGAUAACCUGUCGAAAGAUGAGCUAAUACCAAAUAAGACCACGGCUUCCUCGGAAGCAGGGGUCAAAGGUAGCCUCUACUUGUAAGCUAUCACUUAGAGAUGGGCCUGCGUACCAUUAGCAGUUGGUGGGGUAACGGCCUACCAAGGCCAAGAUGGUUAGCUGGUCUGAGAGGAUGAUCAGCCACACUGGAACUGAGACACGGUCCAGACUCCUACGGGAGGCAGCAGUGGGGAAUAUUGCGCAAUGGGCAAAGCCUGACGCAGCAACGCCGCGUGAGUGAUGAAGGCCU
Molecule: ribosomal RNA, 403 nt
Filed under: uncultured bacterium
Lineage: Bacteria
Description: bacterial SSU rRNA
Rfam family: Bacterial small subunit ribosomal RNA
Source: RNAcentral